RNAcentral lists this ribosomal RNA (662 nucleotides) under uncultured actinomycete. Its description in RNAcentral is "bacterial SSU rRNA". It matches the Rfam family "Bacterial small subunit ribosomal RNA", at positions 214 to 884 of the family's 1533-position model. The record is from RNAcentral. Lineage: Bacteria; Bacillati; Actinomycetota; Actinomycetes; Actinomycetales.
UUAAUUAAUUAUUAUCAGCGCGGCCUAUCAGCUUGUUGGUGAGGUAGUGGCUCACCAAGGCGACGACGAGUAGCCGGCCUGAGAGGGCGACCGGCCACACUGGGACUGAGACACGACCCAGACUCCUACGGGAGGCAGCAGUGGGGAAUAUUGCGCAAUGGGCGAAAGCCUGACGCAGCAACGCCGCGUGCGGGAUGACGGCCUUCGGGUUGUAAACCGCUUUCAGCAGGGAAGAAGCCGCAAGGUGACGGUACCUGCAGAAGAAGCACCGGCUAACUACGUGCCAGCAGCCGCGGUAAUACGUAGGGUGCAAGCGUUGUCCGGAUUUAUUGGGCGUAAAGAGCUCGUAGGCGGUUCGUCACGUCGGAUGUGAAAACCCAGUGCUUAACACUGGGCCUGCAUUCGAUACGGGCGAACUUGAGUGUUGUGGGGGAGACUGGAACUCCUGGUGUAGCGGUGAAAUGCGCAGAUAUCAGGAAGAACACCGAUGGCGAAGGCAGGUCUCUGGGCAACUACUGACGCUGAGGAGCGAAAGCGUGGGGAGCAAACAGGAUUAGAUACCCUGGUAGUCCACGCCGUAAACGGUGGGCGCUAGGUGUGGGGACCAUUCCACGGUUUCCGUGCCGCUGCUAACGCAUUAAGCGCCCCGCCUGGGGAGUACG